Molecule: ribosomal RNA, 500 nt
Filed under: uncultured bacterium
Lineage: Bacteria
Description: partial 16S ribosomal RNA
Rfam family: Bacterial small subunit ribosomal RNA
Source: RNAcentral
AUUGAACGCUGGCGGAAUGCUUUACACAUGCAAGUCGAACGGCAGCACGGACUUCGGUCUGGUGGCGAGUGGCGAACGGGUGAGUAAUGUAUCGGAACGUGCCCAGUCGUGGGGGAUAACGUAGUGAAAAUUACGCUAAUACCGCAUACGAUCUAUGGAUGAAAGCGGGGGAUCGCAAGACCUCGCGCGAUUGGAGCGGCCGAUAUCAGAUUAGGUAGUUGGUGGGGUAAAGGCCCACCAAGCCAACGAUCUGUAGCUGGUCUGAGAGGACGACCAGCCACACUGGAACUGAGACACGGUCCAGACUCCUACGGGAGGCAGCAGUGGGGAAUUUUGGACAAUGGGCGAAAGCCUGAUCCAGCCAUUCCGCGUGCAGGAUGAAGGCCCUCGGGUUGUAAACUGCUUUUGUACAGAACGAAAAGGUUUCUACUAAUACUAGGAGCUCAUGACGGUACUGUAAGAAUAGGCACCGGCUAACUACGUGACAGCAGCCGCGGUAA